UACAGAGGUCUCAAGCGUUGUUCGGAUUCAUUGGGCGUAAAGGGCGCGUAGGCGGCGGGGUCAGUCGGGUGUGAAAUCUUGGGGCUUAACCCCGAAACGGCACUCGAAACUGCCCGGCUGGAGGGCCGGAGAGGAGAUCGGAAUUCACGGUGUAGCAGUGAAAUGCGUAGAUAUCUGGAGGAACACCGGUGGCGAAGGCGGCAUCCUGGACCGGUAUUGACGCUGAGGCGCGAAAGCUAGGGGAGCAAACGGG
Molecule: ribosomal RNA, 253 nt
Filed under: uncultured bacterium
Lineage: Bacteria
Description: partial 16S ribosomal RNA
Rfam family: Bacterial small subunit ribosomal RNA
Source: RNAcentral